Molecule: non-coding RNA, 69 nt
Organism: Rattus norvegicus (Norway rat)
Lineage: Eukaryota; Metazoa; Chordata; Mammalia; Rodentia; Muridae
Source: Rfam
GGGGAUUUGGCUCAGUGGUAGAGCGCUUGCCUAGGAAGCACAAGGUCCUGGGUUCGGUCCCCAGCCCCG